This 1012-nucleotide long non-coding RNA is filed under the name Phasianus colchicus (ring-necked pheasant). Its description in RNAcentral is "lncRNA (ENSPCLG00000009176.1)". The record is from RNAcentral. Lineage: Eukaryota; Metazoa; Chordata; Aves; Galliformes; Phasianidae.
CAGAAAUAUCAGCCUAGUUUAAAAGGCAAAAAUGAUUGAAACUCUGCAUUAGGAAUGGAAAGUCAUUCAUAACUCUACAUCAUAUGAUUAAAAGCUGAGCUAGACUAUUUAUAGCUAAGCACUGUCAAGAGCAAUAUGUGUUGAUGAGAGAACCUGACUGUUAGUACAUUCCUAGAUUAGGUGCAUGUUAAUAUGGCCCGGAUAAAGAAACAAAAGGAAUGAAGAGUGAAGAUAAUACUUAGAAGCUGGGGAAAAUGUUGAGAUUGAUUAGAUAAACAAAAUUGAAAAUCAAAGGGAAAAGGAGCUAAAGUAGAUAAAAUCUUAACUUGCCACCUAUUUGUAAAGCAAUUCUGCUUUCUAAAUGCAGAUCAUAAUGCUUUUAAAAUUUACUUCUAAUAAUCGAUGUCAAUAAUAAUCCUAGUAGUAAUAAUGAUAAUUAAUACUUUAUAAGGGUAGUUAAUUAAUUAUAAUAAAUUAAAAACUGUUAAAUAACAAUGAGUACAUGAGAGUGUAUAUUUCCUGAAGGCGUUUUGGUAAACAAAGGAAAGGAAAAUGUUAGAAUUCUGCUGACCAGAUGCAGAACUACAGCUGAAAUAUCCUUCUGGGAGAAGGAUGUUUUGGAUAGGUAUUUAUCUCCUAUUCAAAUACCUUUGUGUUUCAGGAUGCAUUCAGAACUUGGGUGCUGCCUUGUGCUAGUUCUACAUCGAAACUUCCUUUUGGGAGAAACAGGUCUGCAUUUGAGAUUUUGAUGAUCACAGACAAUGUCAUUAAUAAUAGAUUGGAAAUGAAGAAUGGAGUCUAUUCAUCAAAGACCAUAUCAAAAGAAUAUACCAACUCUGGCUUGUUGGUCUGAUUGCUCUAUGAAAGUGAUAGUGUAGUUUGUACAGCAAAUGCCUAACAGUAGCAGCUGAAGAGUCACUGAAUUACAUGGUUCUCAACAAGAUGCAUGCAUCUUGUCAUCUUUGCAAAUUGUCACAAUAAAAACAUAGAAGGCAACUGGAAAUUUGAUAUG